Molecule: transfer RNA, 83 nt
Filed under: Camillea tinctor
Lineage: Eukaryota; Fungi; Ascomycota; Sordariomycetes; Xylariales; Graphostromataceae
Description: tRNA-Val
Rfam family: tRNA
About the family: Transfer RNA (tRNA) molecules are approximately 80 nucleotides in length. Their secondary structure includes four short double-helical elements and three loops (D, anti-codon, and T loops). Further hydrogen bonds mediate the characteristic L-shaped molecular structure. tRNAs have two regions of fundamental functional importance: the anti-codon, which is responsible for specific mRNA codon recognition, and the 3' end, to which the tRNAs corresponding amino acid is attached (by aminoacyl-tRNA synthetases). tRNAs cope with the degeneracy of the genetic code in two manners: having more than one tRNA (with a specific anti-codon) for a particular amino acid; and 'wobble' base-pairing, i.e. permitting non-standard base-pairing at the 3rd anti-codon position.
Source: RNAcentral
GGCCACAUGGCGCAGUUGGUCAGCGCCUGGCUUACAUUUCUGUGGGAACUAAAUGUACGUGGGUUCGAAUCCCGCUGUGGCCA